RNAcentral lists this long non-coding RNA (383 nucleotides) under Carica papaya (papaya). RNAcentral's name for it is "long non-coding RNA (CPAP_LNC011780)". Lineage: Eukaryota; Viridiplantae; Streptophyta; Magnoliopsida; Brassicales; Caricaceae. The record is from RNAcentral.
UUUCCGACCGCCGAUCGAGGUAAAUUUCAUACCCCCGACUCGUUUUUCCACGCUGAUUCCUCCUGUGGCCAAAUCGGAGCCAAAAUCCCAGCCAAACGGCCGGAAUACGCGGCCAAAGACCAGCGGCGCCGCCGCGCCCCUUCUCGGUUUUUGCCUCCGACGAGGCCCUUCCCGGCCUCCGUUUGAUGCAAUUUUUAUAUCACCGUGAUCACCAUUCUUUUCUCUACAGGUUGACCGGAGCCGAAUCAUCAAAACACGAACCUCGCCGGAGAGCCGCCGCCGGUAAGCUCCGUUUUUCCGUGAUUUUUUGGCCCCCCGAGGGCCCUAGGGUUGUUUUCUCGCAGGGACCGAUGCGAGUGUGGCCGAAUUCGGCUGGAAACGGC